Molecule: long non-coding RNA, 8789 nt
Organism: Mus musculus (house mouse)
Lineage: Eukaryota; Metazoa; Chordata; Mammalia; Rodentia; Muridae
Product: predicted gene, 53921
Exons: 3
Source: RefSeq, a predicted model, not a curated record
CCCGACCACAUUCGCCCUUGCAGCACCUGCAAAUGCUCUGGGUCUGUAAACAAAUGACCAGAACUUCGCCAAGUAGCCUUUCUCUGGGAGAGGGAGGGGCCCAGGGCACUGCGAUUUAACACACCCUCCACGCCCUCCAGUGAAUCCUCAGUGAGAAAGCUCCUGGGGCCUACCAAGGGCUCCUCAGGGAUUCCUCCCUCGCACACGGGGCUUGUCUGGGUUGAGGACUGAGAGAGUCUUACAUACAGCUACCUAACGAGAAUUAUCCGUCAAGGGAAUCGUGGUAUCAGAUCUUGGUGAACUGGUCUCAGCUUCCAGACUUCCUAGAGUUACAGUGGUAGGUUUUGCUCCCUCCCCUUUCUGCACCAUUCGGUUUGUUUCUCAUUGGGAUGGAACAGCCCAGGGUAGCCAAGACGGUGCCAGGAAACCGGCGGGAAUUAAGCUAUCGUUAUAGAAACGCUCUCCACGCCUUCCCAUCCACCACUGAGCCUGACCUCAAAGCUGCAAGGUAGUGCUGGCCCUUCAGGCUGAAGGUGGUGUUGCGCACCCUGCAGGUUGAAGGUGGUACUGCACCCCAAGCUGGAGGUGGUGCUGCACCCCACAUGUGGGCUAAAGGUUCUACUGUUCCCACCCCAAGGCUGAAGAUAGUACUCUGUCGUUCCCCCCCAGGCUGAAGGUGGUAUUUGUAUACACACACACACACACACACACACACAUACACGGGUCACGGUGGUAUUGUCCCCCCACAGGCUAAAGGUCAUAUUGCCCCUACAAGGCUGAUGGUUGUACUGUUUGCCCAGGCUGAAGGUGACACUGCCCCUCUCCAAGUUAAUGUCAUCCUCAUAGUACAUCGGGAAGUUACUGCAUCCCACCCGCAAGGCUGAGUGUAUUCCUGUUCUAACAAGAAAGCAAAGGCUGGAAUUGUCAGGUUGGCCCAGGAGUAAUGGACUAAAAUACACAGGACAGAGAGCCCUCACCACCUGCCAAGAGUCCCUGCUGAGAAAUGCCAACUGCUUUCUACAACAAGGGAGUCAUGACCAGAAGACACAAGGAUGACUGAGAAACUGGAAUGAGGUCCUGUUGGGAGAGAUGCCUGCCUCUUUGGGAUUCUGGAGGCUCCUCUGGGUACAAGUUCUGGAGAACAGCAGGAGGUGCAGGAACAUGGCUCAGGGCCAGCUCUGGAUGCACUUGAGGGCUGCGGUACACCUUGCCCUAGACAGAGCAGCCUUUGGAUGUACACAGCACCCAACCGAGAACUGAGACCCCAGGGAAGCUUGCAGGUUUGAGCUGUUAGCCCCAGAAUCCUAAGCUAUGCAAGUCUAACUCAAGCAAGCCUUCCUGAAGAUGUGAAAUGGCCACGCUGGCCCCUGGACCUAGAACCCAGUUAAAGGCAAAGAUUUUGUGAGCUGUGUUGUGAAUCCUCCCUGCCUCCCAGCCAGGAAAGUGUAGACUCUUCCUGCAAGGCAUCAUCUGUGCUUGGAACCGAAGGCAGCGAUGGAUGAGACAUCUGGGACCUUGUCUUCUGGAGACCCUGGCAUCCUGGACUGGUUUCUCUACCCUUGUUGGCUCACAGAUGCCUCUGGAAGAGCACAGCUGUGAGACGUCAUCAGUUCCCAGGACAGGAGAGCUGUAAAUUCUCAGGGUUUGCUUUUGAUAAGAAAGCAGGAGCAAGUGUGAGGCCUGUGGUGGGAGGUUGGAGAUGCCAAGAAGGGCAUCAAAGAUGUGGCUGAGCCUUGAGUAUCUCACUCUGGCCUGUGUAAGGGACUCAUGGUGAGGCAUGUUAGCUGGGUCUGUCUGAGAGUGUGCACCCAACCUCCUCACUCAGUUGCAAACCCAAGAAACUCAAAAGCAGCCAUAGUUUUUAAUUAAUAUCAUCUUCCAAGAAGGGCCAUCUGGUCUACCUGGCUUGCCAUGGAGCAGUGUAGAAAUGGAAUUCCUCCAGAGAGAGUCUACUGCUUUGCUGUGACAACGCACGCAGUGAGCAGCACGCCAUUCUGGAUUUCUGAUGGCGGACUCCUGGCACAGGUACCACCACUCUUUAUAGUCUGGAAUUUUCCUUCGUUCUUGGCUGCAUUUGUGUCUCCACACAUGCUUCCCUAGCUUUCUGAGCACCCACUUCUGAUGUGUCCUAUCCCCCAAGAUUUUAAGGCUUUCUUAGCAAUGGCUGUAAGUAAAUCCUUCAGGUAUGCAAGGCAAAUGAAAGUGUUACAGCAGCACGGGUUGAUGUAUUCCUAUGGGGAUCAGAUGAAGGAGGCAGUAGCUUUGACCAGAGAGGUCUGGGAAGAUUUUGCAGAAGAGGAAGUGUAGACUAAUUUUGUUGUUGCUGACAUGUUCCUCAAUGUUCUCAUACUAUCCUGCAGAGACGUGGGACUUCAGGGGUAACUAGGGGUGAUUAUACUCAUGGAUAGAGCGGUGCUGUUAUCUAAGGGCUGGGAUACGGAUAUGAACGUGUGGCAGACACUCUGCUCUUUGGUGUGUGUUCUUUAAUUUUUCCAUCCAUCUGAAAUGGGGUGAUGCAUGAGGAAGACUAUACCAUACACAGCCCCUGCAUCUUGGACAUCUCAGCGUCCAAAACUACCAGCAAAUAAAAAUAAUUUAUAACUUAGCUACCCACGGGUAUUUUGUUUCAGUCUCAUGCACUAAGACUCAUGGACAAAGAGGAUGGUAGGAGCAUGGGCGAAUGAGACUUAGGUGCUUUGAGCCAGAGGAGUGGGCAGUGGUAAGCAGCAGUGCUGAACCAGACACUGCAGACCCUUGUAGAUAACAACUCCAUCCUCACCAACAAUCCUGUGGACUAGCUACCGUUCCUCACAAUGAGAAGGUGAGGAGUCAGAGACACAGAGAGGAUAAACAGCUUGAUAAAGCCCCGGUUAAGAAACAACAAAGGAAGUAGGACCUACGUCCACAUUCUUAGCUGUUAUGUCUUUGCCUUGCUGGAUGGGUGGUGUUUUUGUGUGUCCCGGUGGCCAGGACCAAUCACAGACGGGGUGGCUUGAGAAGCACAAGUUUCCUUCCUCACAGCCCAGGAGGGCGGCCGUCCAAGAUCAAGUCAAGGUGUUGGCAGGGUUCUUCUUCUUCAUGUGUCCCACAAAAGCUUGCCUCUCUUUUGCACACAAACCCAUGGUGUCCAUGUGAGGUUUCUUCUUAAAAGGACAGCUGCCAUUCUGCUUCAUACACCUCAGAGUAGGAUCCACUCUGAAGGCCCCAGGGUAACAUUUAAAUACAUCUUUGAAGACGCUAUCUCCAAAUUCAGUCACAUCCUGUGGUCUUCAGGGUUAGAGCUUUGACCUAUAAAUACUAGGAGACCCUGUUCAGGCCACAUCAGAAGGGAAGCUCUAAAGAGAAAAGAUGCUCAGAUGCCCAGGAUGGAGAGGAACAAGAACCAGAAACUACACCUGUCCAAGUGCAUGGGACAUGAGAUUCUGUCUCCACAGCUGCUCAGCUGAAGGCAGCUCAGGGCUGCCACAUGGGCAGUCAUUCAAAAUGUCUCGACAGCUACAACAGCUAUGACAGGCUACCUGCACCUCAGAGCCCACUGAAGCCCAGAUGUUCUGUUCGGGGGCCUCUGGAGGUUCAUGUGAGGCCACAUUUUCUCAACUGACCAUGCUACCUAACAUCUCAUUUGAUGGCUGGAGCAGUAGAGUCCAGAAAGCUUUGUGUAUUUAUUUUUUCUAUCAGAAAUGCUCGCUGGAAACAGAACCAUAAAAAGAAACCACCUGUGUUCCCAGGGGGCCCAACAUCUUUUCUUCUACCACUUCCUAUAAGGUCUAUUUGAGUACAAUCUUGGUCUUGGAGUUCAGACUUCUAGGAGCUGGCUGCAAUAAGUCUGAGUCAAGGUAGUGAGUCUUCUCAAAACAAAACAAAACAAAACAAAAACCAAGCAAACAAAACCAAAACCCCUGGGGCUAGAAAGGUAGCCCAGCAGCUAAGUUGGUUCCUAGCAUCCCCAUUUGGUGGCUUGUGACCACCUGUAACUCCAGGGGAUCCAAUGCCUUCUUCUGAUAUCUACAGGCACCAUCCACAUAUACAGGGCAUACACACAUACACAUAACUAGAAAUAAAAUCUAAAUAAGAGACCCUUGGCUAACCAGCCCACAAGAGGCUGCAUGGUGGGGAAGUGCACUUCUCAACCCUGAGGCAAUGGCUUCAGAGGGGUCUGGCAACACCCUGGUCCCUGACAUACUGACUCCUGCAGAACACAAAAAACACCUCCAACCCCGGACAGCUCCUGUCCCUGUCAGCAGCUCCAGGAUCCACCCAGGGAUGCUUCUGUGAGGCCGCCACACUUGCGGAGGAGACUAAAUACCAAAUACACACAGGACCAAGUAGUAUGAACACGAGUUAAGUGAUCACAAGAAUGGAGAGCUCUUCCUGGUUUAGGACCUUUCCACAAAAAUGAACCUUUUCCAACUGUGCCACUGUCCCCAGCACAGGCUCUGUGCUGGGUUCUCUGCCACACACAGUGAAGGGAAUGACAAGAUGGCAGAAGUCGUGGCAUGACUAUGCUGUAGAAAAAGGGGAGAGAGGAGAGGCAAAGGCCACCACCAACACCACACCUCCUCUGCAGCCCCAAGAUGAAGGGCCGUGGGAAAUAUGCAAAUGUGGCUUAUAAGCAGUAAGAGAUGGGGACCCUCCCAUAUGUCAGCUCUAUAAGGAGGGCACCAUCACUAUGGACUGUGCUUGUCCUGUGAUGAUUUGCCCACUGUUGUGGUUCUGGGGAGAGAAGCCAGGGUCUCACACAUGUCAAACACAAGCUUUACCAUUGAGCCACAACCCUAGCUCCUCUGCAGAUGCUAUUUUUAUUACAUUUUCCUUCCUUCCUUCCUUCCUUCCUUCCUUCCUUCCUUCCUUCCUUCCUUCCUUCCUUCCUUCCUUCCUUCCUUCCUCCUCCCUCCCUCCUUCCCUCCUUCCCCCUCCCUCCCUUCCUCCCUCCCUCUUUCUUCUUUCCUUCCUUCCUUCCUUCCUCCCUUCCUCUCUCUCUUCCUCUCUCUCUUUCUCUCCCUCCCUCCCUCCCUCCCUCCUUCCCCUCUUCCCCCUUAAAUAAAGCCAUGUGUAUCCCAGGCUGGCCUAGAACUAUCUAUGCUGAUGGUAAACUUGACCCUCUCAUCCCUCUGCCUCCACAUCCCAAAUACUGAGGUACAAAUCACCACACCUGCUUCUGUGGUGCUGAGGAUUGAACCCAGGGCUGCCUGCAUGCCGGGUAAACAUGCUGCCAACUAAGCUACAUUCCCAGACCAAUUUAUUAACCUUUGACAGUAUGUCAUUAUGAAGCCCAGACUGACCCCAAAAUCAUGAUCCUCCUGCCUCAGACUCUCCAGUGCUGGGAUUACAGGCAUACACCGCACGCCAGGUUCUCUGUGGAGUUCUUGAUGGGCAUGCGAGGCUAUCCCUGCCUGCAAGGAACAGCCAAAUGGGGGAUGAGUUUAUCUUACAGUUUGCAUGUCCCCUCCGCAUGCACACACCAAAGGCUCACAUGUGCUCAGUCUCCAACUGGCGUGGCCAAUCCCGGAUAGGAGGAUGGGUGAGGAGGGAACCAGCCAUCUCUUAAGUCAUGGUGGAGACAUAAUCUGCUAGCAUAACUAGGAGGCUCUGGAGACAUAGAAGGUGGACUUGGUUGGAGGAAGAUGUCUAGAGGCAUGCCUUACCUGGUCCCUGUCCUCUUCCCAUCACUGUUUCUAAGCCUUGAUGAGGUAACCGAGCCUGCCCUGCCACAUGUCCCUGCUGCCAUGGUGUUCUGUGUCACCAAAGGCCCAGAGCCAUGGAGCAAGCUGAACACACCCUGUAUGACAAUGUACAGAUUUAUGUGUGGCCAAAAUAAGACUCUCUUCCUUGUGAGGUCUUCCUUAGGGCCCUGUCAGAGACAAAAUGUCUGACUUACCCAGUGUCCACGUGUGUAUGUAUUGGCCUCCAGGUCUUUUGUCAUUUUGUAUAAAAGGGCUUCAUGGCCAGGUAACAUGGGAGGGAAGAUGGCAGAGAGCAGGGGGUGGGGGGCAGGGCAGGGCAGGACAUGUGUUAUUGGAGUGCACCAAUGGCUUAAACUUAAGGCAAAAAUUCCAGGAAGUGUGUGUGGAGGAGGACAUGGGGGCAAAGCAAGAUUUGGGGCUUGUUAAGUACAGACAGGCAUGGUAGAGUCAGAAGAUUGAAGAUUCUAAAGACACAAGUACCUGUGGACCCCCUCCCAACUACAAGGUGGCACAUGGGAGCCCAAGGAGGAGAUGGUGACCAAGGUGUGAACCUGGAAUGUCGCCAUGUCCACCCCACCUGUCACUUUCCCCUGAUGCAGGCCCAAGAUGCUGACACAUGAAGUUCUGACUCUUGGCUGUUCCAGGUUGGAGGAGUCCACUAUUAGAUUAAAUUGUGUCAGAGUAGUGUUCCCAUAUUUGGCACCAUGGGCUCUGGGCUGCAGCCAGGAAUGAAAAUGUAGAAGCCAUAGCCGCUUUGGAGAGGACUCCCAGGGCAUACCCUGCACACGGCGCUGACCUUCAGCCCACCCUGUCCUGUUUUAUUCAAGCUGGACUUCACUGGUGCCUCUUCCCAUUCCUACCAGUUCAAAAGAAGGUAUCACACCAGCCUGUUUCCAAUGCUCACAGCCCCCAGGUAGCCACCAGUCUGUCAUAUCCGUCCUCUCUCUCUCUCUCUCUCUCUCUCUCUCUCUCUCUCUCUCUCUCUCUCUCUCUCUCUCUCUCUCUGUAAAAGGAGAGGGGAAACUGGGGCAGGGCAGACUUCUGAAGCCUUUGCUGCAGCAAGAGGGAGAAGGGGGCAUAUUGGCAGGCAGAUUUUCUUCUGUCUCUUGAGGCCUGGCUGGGGUGAGGGUUCCCAUUAGACAGUGGGGGUUGGUUACUGAGGGAGAGUACAGCUAUGUAGGCCUUCCCAUGGGGCUAUGGGAUUCCAAGGCAAUGCCCCAGACAGCCAAGAUCCCUGCUUGGCUUUGCCUGCUCUUCUGGGGCUGGUGCCCCCCCCCCCCCAUCUGAUUCAGCAAACAGAUCAGAGGCAGCCAAGGCCUGUUCUGUGAGGGGUGUCUGGGUGCAGGCAGCAGGGUGCUGGGGCAAUGUGCUUUUGGGAGCCAUAAGUGGUAUAGCACAGCUGCUCUGGGGGUACAGGUCUCUGGUCAAGUUGGCAUGCCUAGCAAGGGCAGGGAGCAAACAUACCGCUCUUUGCUGGCAGGACACAAGGGCACAGGACACUGUGCUAAGAAACCCAGGACCAGCGACUUACACAUCUGUGACAGGUUUAUUGCCUGCAAGGGCCUGCCAACAACCUGUCUGUGCUUGUGGUAUUUAAAAGCCUCACACAUUCCAUUUCUCUGGUUGGGCGCCCCACUGGCAGCCCUGCGAAGGAGGCAGCUUGCACCAGUGUGCUGGAGAGAUGCUGGGUUCUGACAGAGUGUCAGUAUUGUUCAAACAUGUGGGACAGAUGCUCCAAAAGGCUUCCAUGCAGGUGAGCCCCCUGAUGCCAGAGAGGAGGAGCUCGGAUUUGUUUGCAAAGCUGCAGGGGUGCAUGUGAAGGCUCCAGGGAGCUCGCAUUCUCUCUGAAAUCUCUCCUUUGGUAAAGCAGUAGCAAGACAGUAAGCUGGAAGCCCCCGGAUGAGCUUCCGCGAUGCUUACUGACCAGGCAUAAAUCACUUGUUUCCCAAGAACAGCUCGUCCCUUCUGUUCUGAUUGUUUGCUGGUGUUUGUAUCUCUCUGCUGGUGAAGUACAAAGAGCUCUAAAUGUAAUGUACCCAAGACCACAAAGUAGGUGAAGUAGCAAAGCUGGGGUUCAAACCCAUACCCUAAACAGUCAUGCUAGAACACUAGCUUUAAACGCUACCAAGGACCAAGGCUACAACUAUGCUGAUUUCCCCAGAGCCCACUAUUAAAUCGUACCUAAGUAGUGUUCCUAUACUUGGCACCAUGGUCUUCUGGCUAUAGCCGGGAAUGAAAAUAUAGAAGCCAUCUUUGGCCCAGAGUGAGGGUAUCUGGAACAUGCCUGUCUUUGGGAAACUGGGCUAAGGUUGAGGUAGGCUAGGGUGGAGCCCCCAGUCCUGGUGAGGAAGGACAGCCACCAACAAUUCUGUGCAGUUGCAGCUUGAGGGCAAGGCUCUAGGAGAGGCAGGAAUGCUCCUUUCAAAUGGAACUACUAGACAGAGGGUGGGCACAGCACCCUAGCUCCUCAGUGCCCUUGCUGCCAAGUGUGUGCAGGCUCUAAGAACCCAGUACUGUCAAACUGUUCUUCAGGGGACGUCUCUGUCCCUCACUCCCACACCUUGUCCUCUGCUUCCUUAGCAUGUGGCCUGGCUCAGUGUGCAAGAAUGACAGAGAUGAAGGAGGCAGCAUGGGACGUUGGGGGAGGGGAGAAGGGAGGAAAGCAGUGGCUAGGAUGCACACAGGUAGGCCACAAUACCAUGUUCCCUCCUGGGCAGGGCUGGAGAACUGGGGAAAAAGGAGUAUCUGGCCUUAAAGAACGUGGCUUAGGUGAAGGAAGGGACACAUCUUUUCCGUGCCCUGCAGCAUGAUGGGCCAACCAGCUAUGAAGACUGCCAAGGUCGGCCUGUGUGGCAAACCUUCUAUACAGCACUAUCCGCUUCCAGCUGCACCCUGACCAGCCCUGUGAUAAACACAAGCCACAGAUAAAUGCCCUCAGGCCGCUUUCUCACUACCUAUGUCUGUCACAUGCACAGACCACAGAGCAGCAGGUGGCAUCUAGGAGGUAGUGCGCUGUGUAGACACAACACAUACGGGUCUUAAAACCAAUGGUCGCAUCGAAGAAACACAGCCUUUGUUUUAGUGAAUCCAUACUUUUUUUUUCUU